This 300-nucleotide unclassified non-coding RNA is filed under the name uncultured Lecanicillium. RNAcentral's name for it is "sequence contains 5.8S rRNA gene, ITS2". The stretch from base 1 to 79 matches the Rfam family "5.8S ribosomal RNA", at positions 76 to 154 of the family's 154-position model. Lineage: Eukaryota; Fungi; Ascomycota; Sordariomycetes; Hypocreales; Cordycipitaceae. The record is from RNAcentral.
AGAGAAAGGUGAGUCAUCGAAUCUUUGAACGCACAUUGCGCCCGGGAGCAUUCUCCCGGGCAUGCCUGUUCGAGCGUCAUUUCAACCCUCGAUUUCCCUUUGGGGAAGUCGGCCGUUGGAGAUCGGCAGCACUGCCGGCUCCCAAAUACAGUGGCGACCCGCCGCGGGGACCCCUGCGUAGUAACUUACACUCGCACCGGAAACCAGACGUGUCACGCCGUAAAACCCCCAACUUUCUGAACGUUGACCUCGGAUCAGGUAGGAAUACCCGCUGAACUUAAGCAUAUCAAUAAGCGGAGG